Molecule: long non-coding RNA, 825 nt
Organism: Helianthus annuus (common sunflower)
Lineage: Eukaryota; Viridiplantae; Streptophyta; Magnoliopsida; Asterales; Asteraceae
Exons: 2
Source: RefSeq, a predicted model, not a curated record
UGAAAAACAUGACACUGCACAACUUAGUUAUUAGCCUUCACCCUCUCCACUUCUCCAGCGACCAGCCCCUGCCCCACUCCACCGGCACCUGCAGCCUAGGACUGUCCAUUACCCCAAAAUCAUCGGCCUUUUCGUCAUCGUUACCCCCAAGGCUCCACCAUCAUCCAACUCCGGCAGCCACCGUCGACCCGCCCUUGAAUAUAUCUCACUCUCAGAAGCUUUGUCAAGAUAUAUACCACCAAAACCUCUACAUGAAAACAACGCCAAACUGGAUCUUCCACUGGUGAUAAAGCCUGACCCGACCCGACCGGAAUUUCUAACAUCAAUUUGACGAAAACUCGAGCACCUAAAAAGUGAACCCAGUGGAAAAAAAAUCCUGGAUCCGCCACUGUUGGUGAUGGAGUGAAAGCCUUGACCGGUGUGCAAGUUAAGUUGAAAGGGGAUGAUAGCAUCGGGAAUGGAUUGAAUGGGAGAAGAGGAAUGGUGUGUGAAGGCCUUUGAUAGAUGGGGGGAUGAAUCUGAAAAGGAUUGUAAAAGAUGCUUACCCAGGUAACCACUGCCUCCGAUUAUUAGUAAUCUCUUCAUUUCAUUGGUCUUCACCGAUCUCAAUUCACGCCGCCGAGAAAGGGUUUUUUUGGGUGUUGCAACACCAUUUGCAGUGGAGGAGGGGCUAGGUGCUAAACGGGUUGUGUUUGCAGGUAGGCGGGUUCAACUCGACCCGAACCUAAAACUUUUAUACGAACUCGAAUCCGACCCGAACCCGAAAAUUGUGUCAUACAAAUGAACCCGAACCCGAAAAUUGUGUCAUACAAAUGAACCCGAACC